GGAAUAACACGGGGAAACUUGUGCUAAUACCGAAUAAGCCUUUACAGGGAAAGUUUUAACGCCGAAAGAUGAGCCUGCACUUGAUUAGCUAGUUGGUAAGGUAAAAGCUUACCAAGGCAACGAUCAAUAGCUGUUCUUAGAGGAAGACCAGCCACAUUGGGACUGAGACACGGCCCAGACUCCUACGGGAGGCAGCAGUGGGGAAUCUUGCACAAUGGGGGAAACCCUGAUGCAACGAUGCCGCGUGAGUGAAGAAGGCCCUUGGGUUGUAAAACUCUUUCGUCGGGG
This 288-nucleotide ribosomal RNA is filed under the name uncultured bacterium. Its description in RNAcentral is "partial 16S ribosomal RNA". It matches the Rfam family "Bacterial small subunit ribosomal RNA", at positions 140 to 444 of the family's 1533-position model. The record is from RNAcentral.